UACGAAGGGGGCUAGCGUUGUUCGGAAUUACUGGGCGUAAAGCGAGCGUAGGUUGCUCGAUAAGUCAGUGGUGAAAGCCCAGAGCUCAACUCUGGAACUGCCAUUGAAACUGUCGAGCUGGAAUCUCAAAGGGGGUAGCGGAAUUCCAAAUGUAGGGGUGAAAUCCGUAGAUAUUUGGAGGAACACCGGUGGCGAAGGCGGCUACCUGGAUGAGUAUUGACACUGAGGCUCGAAAGCGUGGGGAUCAAACAGG
This 253-nucleotide ribosomal RNA is filed under the name uncultured bacterium. RNAcentral's name for it is "partial 16S ribosomal RNA". It matches the Rfam family "Bacterial small subunit ribosomal RNA", at positions 524 to 776 of the family's 1533-position model. The record is from RNAcentral.